CUACGGGGGGCAGCAGUGGGGAAUAUUGCGCAAUGGGGGAAACCCUGACGCAGCAACGCCGCGUGAGUGAUGAAGGCUUUCGGGUCGUAAAGCUCUGUCAGGUGGGAAGAACAAGUUGAUUCCCAAUAAGGAUUGACUUUGACGGUACCGCCGGAGGAAGCACCGGCUAACUCCGUGCCAGCAGCCGCGGUAAUACGGAGGGUGCAAGCGUUGUUCGGAAUCAUUGGGCGUAAAGCGCGUGUAGGCGGUUUGGUAAGUCAGGUGGGAAAGCCCUAGGCUCAACCUAGGAAUGUCAUCUGGAACUGCCGGACUUGAGUACGGGAGAGGAGAGUGGAAUUCCCGGUGUAGAGGUGAAAUUCGUAGAUAUCGGGAGGAACACCCGUGGCGAAGGCGACUCUCUGGACCGAUACUGACGCUGAGACGCGAAAGCGUGGGGAGCAAACAGGAUUAGAUACCCGGGUAGUC
This 465-nucleotide ribosomal RNA is filed under the name uncultured bacterium. RNAcentral's name for it is "partial 16S ribosomal RNA". It matches the Rfam family "Bacterial small subunit ribosomal RNA", at positions 339 to 795 of the family's 1533-position model. The record is from RNAcentral.